This 718-nucleotide long non-coding RNA is filed under the name Arabidopsis thaliana (thale cress). RNAcentral describes it as "potential natural antisense gene, locus overlaps with AT1G75290 and AT1G75300 (AT1G75295)". The record is from RNAcentral. Lineage: Eukaryota; Viridiplantae; Streptophyta; Magnoliopsida; Brassicales; Brassicaceae.
AUCUGCCACUCUUUCUCAGUUUCUCCGUCUCUCGCCGGCGAUCGAUUCGCCGAAAAGCCCCACUACCCAGGGUAAAGCACAGAGGCUUCUUCACCGAACCAAGGCUCUAUUGUGAAACUGGUCUGAUCUCCCUUCACAAACACCGCGUGGUUUAUAGACUUGAAAACAUCGAUGGGAACUGGAGAGUACGCAAAAAGAACAUAUCUUUUAAUUCAGCAAAUGAAAAAAAAUGGAUUUGCUCUUCUGAUAUGUGAGUCUUCUCAAGAGACUUGCCGAUCUUUUUCUCCCACAAGGUGACCAUUUCGUUCAUCGAUAAAAUGUUGUUAGGAGGACUAAUGUAGAGGGUUUUGUUCAGAGUCCUUAGAUCAUCCACCGCCUUGAUCAUGAGGAACAUUUUUGUCGCCAAAGAUGAUGGCCUUGUCUCUAGUAUGAGAAAUGAGACCAGACUCGAACUGAAGUAACGUACGCAAGUAAAAACCGGCAGAGCAAUUGCUAACAACGUAAGUGUAUGGUAUUCCUUCAGCUUCAAUGGCUCUCCUGAUCUGUACCUUCCCUGCAAAUAAUGAUUUUGCCGGCUCAACCGCACUGGUCCUCUCAACGUCUAUCCCAAACUCAGCCGGCAAGAAUCUCUGCAAAGCAAAAACUAUAAAUCUAGUUUGAAUCAAAUACCAACCUUGACGUUACCAGCUUCUUUAAUGGCGGAAAUGAUCUUGGUUUG